This 1367-nucleotide long non-coding RNA is filed under the name Oryctolagus cuniculus (rabbit). RNAcentral's name for it is "lncRNA (ENSOCUG00000030267.1)". The record is from RNAcentral. Lineage: Eukaryota; Metazoa; Chordata; Mammalia; Lagomorpha; Leporidae.
UAGAAAUAUUAGAUGGAGCAGGGGCAGGCCCUGUAGGGCGAGGAGGGAAGCGGGGUCCCGCACUUGAGGGCAACAAGGGGAGCUGGGCCCAGGCCCUGGAGGGCAAGAAAGCCAGAGGGUCAGGCCCUGAAGGUGGGGAAGGGAAGGGAGCCUGGUACAGGAUGGUGAGGAGGGGAGCAGGGCCUGGCCCUGGGGGGUGAGGAAGGGAGAAGAGCCUGGACCUGGAGGGUGGCAAGGGGAGCAUGGACCAGGCCAUGUAGGGCAAGGAAGUGAGCAGGGUCUGGCCCUGGAGGAUGGAGAGGGGAGCAGGGAAGGACCACGGAGGGUGAGGAGGUGAGCUGGGCCUGGACCUGGAUGGCGAGGAGGGCACCAGGGCCUGGCCAUGGAGGGCAAGGAGGGGAUCAGGGCCCAGGCCAUGGAGGGCGAGGAGGGGAUCAGGGCCCAGGCCAUGGAGGGCGAGGAGGGGAUCAGGGUCAAUCCCUGGAGGGCGAGGAGGGGAGCAGGGCCCAGGCCCUGGAAGGCGAGGAGGUGAGCAGGGCCUGUCCCUGGAGGGAAAGGAGGGGAGCAGAGUAGGCCCUGGACAGCGGCAGGAGGAGCAAGGCCUGGCCCUGUAAGGCAGCAAGAGAUGUGAGGCCUGGCCCUGGAAGGAGAGGAGGGGAACGGGGCCCAUGCCCUGGAAGACAGCAAUGCCCGUUCAAGAGGGGCAUGGGGCCUGGCCCUUCAGGGCAAGGAAGGUAGCAGGGCUCGGCCCUAAAGGGCGAGUAGGGGACUAAGGUCCUGCACUGGAAGGCAGCUGGGGGAGAAGGGCCCGGCACUGGAAGGCAAGGAGGGGAGUAGGGCCCAACCCUGGAGGGUGGCGGGGGGAACAGGGCCUGGCCCUGGAUGACAGCAAGAGGUGUGGGGCCUGGACCUGGAAGGCAAGGAGGGGAGGAGGGUCCAUGCCCUGGAAGGCGAGGAGGGGAGCAGAGCCUGGCACUGGAGGGUGAGGAGUUGAGGAGGGCCCAGCCCUGGAGGGCAAGGAGGGGAGAGGGGGCCCUGCCCUGGAGGGCAGCAGGAGGAGCAAGCCUGCCCCUGGAGGUGAGGAGGGAGAGCAGGGCCCAUGCCCUGAAGGGAAGUGUUGGCUGUUCCUGAGGGGAGAAGGUCCUGGCCGUGGAGGGUGAGGAGGGCAGCAGGGCCUAGGCCCUGGAGGUGAGGAGGGGAGCAGUGUCAGGUCCUGAAGGGCGAGGGGGGGAAGUGUUGUCAGGAACUGGAGGGUGAGGAGGGGUGAGGGGGCAGGCCCUGGAGGCUGGCGAAGGGAACGGGGCCAGGCCCUGGAAGGCAGUGAGGGGAGUGGAUCCCAGGUCCUGGAUGGGAAGGAGGGGAGCUUG